UGGGGAAUAUUGCACAAUGGGGGAAACCCUGAUGCAGCGACGCCGCGUGAACGAAGUAGGUAUUCGUAUCGUAAAGUUCUGUCCUAUGGGAAGAUAAUGACAGUACCAUAGAAGAAAGCUCCGGCUAAAUACGUGCCAGCAGCCGCGGUAAUACGUAUGGAGCGAGCGUUGUCCGGAAUUAUUGGGCGUAAAGGGUACGCAGGCGGUUUAAUAAGUCGAAUGUUAAAGAUCGGGGCUCAACCCCGCAAAGCAUUGGAAACUGAUAAACUUGAGUAGUGGAGAGGAAAGUGGAAUUCCUAGUGUAGUGGUGAAAUACGUAGAUAUUAGGAGGAAUACCAGUAGCGAAGGCGACUUUCUGGACACAAACUGACGCUGAGGUACGAAAGCGUGGGGAGCAAACAGG
RNAcentral lists this ribosomal RNA (403 nucleotides) under bacterium. RNAcentral's name for it is "partial 16S ribosomal RNA". It matches the Rfam family "Bacterial small subunit ribosomal RNA", at positions 355 to 776 of the family's 1533-position model. The record is from RNAcentral.